CACCUGUGUGGUUAACUGGUCAAGAAUGACGUCGAAUUACAGUUAAAAGGAGUUCAGUGAGAGGAGGUUUUGAGAGUAACACUCCACAGGCCUGUCAUGCUUUCCUACCAUCUCACACUCCUCCAUCUCUGCAUCUCCCGCUGUCUUCUAAUAAAGCCUAUGGCCUAUGGCCGAUUUCUCCAAAACUCAGCAACUCACACCGCAACAAUCAAGACUGAUAAAUACAGG
Molecule: non-coding RNA, 228 nt
Organism: Plectropomus leopardus (leopard coralgrouper)
Lineage: Eukaryota; Metazoa; Chordata; Actinopteri; Perciformes; Serranidae
Source: RefSeq, a predicted model, not a curated record